This 45-nucleotide non-coding RNA is filed under the name Echinostoma caproni. Lineage: Eukaryota; Metazoa; Platyhelminthes; Trematoda; Plagiorchiida; Echinostomatidae. The record is from RNAcentral.
GCACUGCUGAUGCGUCCCAAACAAGACGAAACAGCUGUCCAGUAC